Cavia porcellus (domestic guinea pig) is the source of this 860-nucleotide long non-coding RNA. RefSeq lists it as uncharacterized. The record is from RefSeq and is a predicted model, not a curated record. The transcript is spliced from 2 exons. Lineage: Eukaryota; Metazoa; Chordata; Mammalia; Rodentia; Caviidae.
GGUUAUGAGCGGCCGUCCUGGACUCGCUGAGACACACGCAAGUUUAGAGCGUGGUCAGCUCUGCAGGUACACAGUCACCCUGGCGCAGACACUACGGCUCAGCAGCUUUCGCGCGGGAGCGCCUCCUGCGCUAGGGGUUCCAACAUGGCAACCUCGGACCUACAAACUCGUACACACCAAAGCUCAGGUUCCCAAACUGGCCAUUUCCAUCUCUCUGCGGGCUGCACAGCCCCCUCGCCGCCUCUCAAUCCACCCUCAGCUCUGUUGAAGCCCAACCCCUCGGGGAGCCAUGCCCCUCCCCAACUUUUCCGGCUACCACGCCCCCACCAACUCCAAGGUCCAGGCGAUGCUCCACCCUGCACCCCGCCCCCUCUUUUCCUGGCGCUGGGGGUACGCGGCUUUUGCGCCCUCUGCCGGCUAAUCUUCACAACCCUGAGACCCCUAGACAGGUAAAGCAGCAUUCACCCUCAGCAAUCAGACAGGCAGUUAAAAAGACUUCUUUUAGUCGUUUAAUCGUUCAAAUGUUCGUUCCUUCUGUGGCCUCCCAUAUAAAAGAAGAAGGGAACGACCUUGACUUUCCACUGUCAGACCUACACACGAAUCUGUGGCUGCUCCACGUUCCUUGCAGGGGAGGGGCAGGACCCUUCUACUUCUCAGUGAUCCACCCUAGAGUUCUCCUACUUCUGUCCCAGUCUGGUGAGUCUGAGGUUGUGCUAGGUACUGAGGCAUCACCCCCUUCCCUUCCUUGCCCUACUCUGCCCUCACCUGCCUGUUACGUUCUUUUCAUCUUCCUGGACCCAGUUUAAAUGCUGGGCCCUACAUCUGAAUGAAUAAAAAUUUAUGGGCUGCCUCUGAUGUAU